Molecule: long non-coding RNA, 1088 nt
Organism: Halichondria panicea
Lineage: Eukaryota; Metazoa; Porifera; Demospongiae; Suberitida; Halichondriidae
Exons: 6
Source: RefSeq, a predicted model, not a curated record
UGUGAAGAAGUAGGGAGGGUUGGCAGCAUUGGGUAUACUGGGGGGUCUUGCCUCCAGUGAUGCACCGAAUGGUCUGAUGGUCCAACGGAACCUGGUGUCACAUCUCUCCUCUCCUGUGUUGUCACAGUUGCCAGAUUUGAAAGCUCAGUGCUAUCCCCGUUCAAUUCUUUCCUGAGCUCUACCACUCCUCUGCUGUCUCCAUAGGUGGUCAGGUCGAUAUCCAGUAAUAUUGCUGGUGGGAUCCCCAGCCGAUACAGAAUCUGAAAGUGCUAAGGUAUGUUGGAGAUAAAAAGAAAUCUGAGUGGGGCAAGCACUGGAUCACCAAAGGAUUUGACAGUUUGGAGCUGGUGCUUCAGAAUACGGCUGGGAAGUAUUGUGUGGGGGAUGAGGUGAGUGUUUACAAUGGCCACUUUACCUUUGCUCUCUUGGCAGGGUCUCCGUGGGGAACAAGGUACGGUGGACCCCUCGUCUCAUCAAGGUACUCGAUAAUGGCCAGCUGGGUGGGUGAGGGGAUGAAUGUGAGUGAUAGUAAUAAAUGAGCAGUUAACGUACAGACUCUGUGAGGACUAGUCCGUCUAUCUCCAAGGUAAGUACCACACACUGAGGGUUCAAAGCUUUGUACGAGUCUGUAAACUGUCAAAAAAGUCUCAUAAUUAACAUAAAUCAUAAUUACUAAUUACCUGCUGUCCACCAUCUUUCACCAGAUGAACAGCCUUGUACUCGUACUCUAUACCUUUUAGCGCAAGAGCUGCACUGAACAAGAUAACAUUGAAACAGGGGCCGUGGGCUUGACCAUGUCUAGGGGGUGGACCAGUAAUUAUUAGGUAGCUAGACUGUUAACCCUCUCACCAAAUCUCACUCUCCAGGAGCAGGAGCUGGGGUCAAACAAGUGGAGGAUGGGCUGGAGAGGGGUGAACGGGUGCAUGUAGGGUCUAUUGUCACUGUGGAUUUCAAGAGGUGUUCCAAGGAUCUCUAACCUAUCUUUAGAGCUUUAUUGCUGACUCAAUGAACAAUCAUGAUCACGAUUAGUUUCCUUACAUUCUUGAUUUUGUUCACAAUUGACUCACAUUCACAACAUCACAACAUAU